UGACAUCGGAGACUGCGCCCGCAACUUUCGUGUGCGCUAGAAAGUUUGCAGAAGUCCCACCGGCGUCAAGUUUGAAGCGUUGUGUUGAAACGCGCGCUUGCGAUAAUUUGAUGUGUUCGUGUGCUUUCGAAAAGAAGGUUAUUCCCAUCUUUAGCUUAAAGUGAUGAGGUAUUCUGUGGAUCUUCUUACAGCGAAAAGUAAAUAUUUGAGACAUAAGGAAACUUAUCAAGCAUGAAUCUUGAGCUAAAGUUCCGGAUAUUUGGAAAGAUCUGCUACCCACUCGCUAACCGAUUUUUGCUUUAUGGGACGAAUGGAUAAGACAUGAGAUAUGUCAGAUCUGCAACGAUUUGCUGGCUGCUCGAGGAGUCAAGCAUGGGUUAUUUUUUUCGCUACUAUCUGUACUGUUAUAAUCCAGAGCAGCAGCGCAACAACUACAGAACAUUCCGACAGUGGCACACACAACUCACCAGGCAUGCUUAUGGAAGGAUGCCCUCAGUGGGAGAAAAGCCCUUGGUGUCCAUGCUACGAAUUCGAAGACGGUCUUUUCUUAGAAUGCCCACAUACCGGACUGGAAGAAAUACGAGCAACACUGGCCCUAAUCACAGCUCCUAUAAAAUCAUUAAGCAUCUAUCACCUCGAUCCAAAUGUAACAGUUUUUCCAGAUGGAUUAUUCGAAAAUUCAACUGUUUAUCACCUUCAAAUCUCUCAUACAGAAAUCCAAACGAUACAAGAACGUGCAUUUGAGGGACUGGAACUUACACUUGACAGUUUGUCUAUGGUGAACAGCAAGCUAAAAGAGAUUCCGCAAGGUUCUCUUAAUAAACUUGUGACACUGAGGACGUUAGAUUUUGAUUCAAAUGUUAUAUCAUCAGUUGAAAGUUACGCUUUAUAUGGACUACUCAUUACCAGUUUAAAUCUGCAAAAUAAUCAGAUUGAGCUUCUUACAGAAUAUGCUUUCGGUGGUUUAGAAAAUACUCUAGAGGAACUAAUCCUGAUCAACAACAAAUUGAAGCAGUUCCCUUUAAAUGCAUUAAGGCGACUAAGAAAUUUAAAAACCUUGCGUCUUGUGUGGAAUGAAAUCGAAGAUAUACCUGAUGAUGGAUUUACUAGAUUUACUGCCUUACAAAGAGUAGAUCUAAGCUCUAACAAGAUCAAAUGUCUUGAUGAAAGGAGUUUCGUUACUAUGCCUAGAUUGACAUCACUAUCUCUAUACAUGAAUCGUUUAACUUCCUUAAAUGAUACGGUAUUUUUAUACCUGAGAGAACUCGAAUCGUUAGAUGUCAGCCAUAAUAGUUUAACGUCUUUAGCAGGAAAGGCAUUCAGUCAUUUGAAGAAGCUUCGUACGAUUGACCUAAGUUUUAAUCAUCUGCAUUCCAUCAGUUCUGGAGCUUUUCAUAACUUGACACACCUCCGAGAAAUCUUUUUAACAAAUAAUAUUAUUAAAAAGAUAGCAAAUGAUACGUUUUACAAUACUACUCAAAUCUCUGUUCUUUUUAUUCCAAAUAAUGCAAUCACCCACAUAGAAUGUGGUGCUUUUUAUCAUUUGCAUCAUUUAUAUCAACUACAACUUUCGUUUAAUCAAUUAAAAGAUGUUCAUCAUUCCAUGUUUAAAAAUAAUCGUGAUCUUCGCUCAUUAUCUCUGGAUAAUAACCUCAUAACCGAGCUUCAACCUGGUACAUUUCAAGAACUUGUCGAAUUAAGAGAUCUCCGACUUCAGAAUAAUCUGUUAAAAGUUAUCAAGAAGGGAGUGUUUUACUCUCUGCCUAAUCUUCAAGAACUUCAUUUACAGUUUAACCGGAUUGAAGUGAUUGAAGCGGAAGCUUUACAGUCUCUAGCCAACCUACAGCAUUUGAAUAUUCAGGGGAACAAGAUGUUGGAAGUCGAUGACAUCCUAAGCCGUUACCCGUCCAGUUUACGAUCCCUUCAAUUAACGCACAACGAAAUCGUGUCCAUGAAUGCCAACAGUCUCCUGGGGCAAAAUAAGCUGGAAAUCCUGUGGCUUAAUUUUAACAAGAUUAAACGACUACGCCCUGAGGUGUUUCGAGAUCUGGUAGAAGUUCAGAAGCUCUAUCUUGAUCAUAAUUCUAUAUCAGCGAUUGAAAGCGGUACAUUUUCAGGAAUGCGGCAGUUAAUGUAUUUAAAUCUCGAGUAUAACAACUUAAACCAUUUGAAUGUUGAUAUGUUCCAAGGAGCAGAUCAACUGGAAGAACUUUACAUCUCACAUAACAGAAUUAUGGACAUAGAACCUCAAACUUUUCAGACAUUGCAGAACUUAAAAAUUCUUCACAUGUCACAUAAUCAAAUAUAUGUAAUUCGAAAAUACAUGUUCGAAGGAAACUUGCCAUUGAAAGAGUUAGUUCUAUCUAAUAUAAUGGCAGAAGAAGUAGAAGCAGGAUCUUUCUUAGAACUAUCUUCUCUGGAAACACUGGAUAUGAGUGAAAAUAAGUUGAAUAAUGUUAGAGUCGACUUUUUGUUCCUUCCUUCGUUAAAACAUUUAUAUCUUUCUGGAAACAAUCUAACUGGCGCUAGUGAAAAUUUAUUUUACGGACUAUCUGGACUUAUCACUCUUAACAUUGAAAACACAGGACUGAACUUCGUGACAGGUCGUAUGUUUGAACAAAUGACAGAACUAAAGAUCUUGCGCUUAAUCGGAAAUGGAAUUAAAAACUUGGAGUCCCGUCAUUUUUCAAGUCUUGGUUUCUUAAAAGAAUUGUAUCUCGAUGAAAAUGAACUCGAAAGUAUACCAACAAUUGCUAUUGAAAAUCUUCACAACAUGGAGAUAUUUUCUUUAUCCAAAAAUUUGAUUUCAUCUGUUCAGCACCUUGCUUUCAAAGGCAACAGAAAUUUAAAAAAGAUUAUUCUAAGUAGCAACAGUAUAGUAAAUAUAGAGCAAGAUGCUUUUCUAAAUCUCACUAAACUCAAAGAAUUAGACUUAUCCAAUAACACAUUAAAAUCCUUCUUAAGUGGCGUUUACGAUCCUUUAAAAAAUCUAGAUAAACUCAUUCUAGAUGGUAAUGCCUUUUUCUACCUUCCGAAUACACUCCUAAAUGCUCCUCUACGUAAUAUCAGGAUUUUAUCAGUUAAUCGUAACCCAAUGGUAAGAAUAAGAGAAGAUUUAAGCACAACAGGAAAUUUCAAAUCGUUGGAAACGUUGAGAAUCAAUAGAGGCAAUAUUACAGUUAUUGCAUCGCAUGAUUUUCUUGGCUUCAGAAAUAUUAUUCAUUUGUCAUUACGUCAUAACAAAAUUGUAAAAAUCUCACCUGGAGCAUUCAAACCUUUAACUAAAUUGGCCGUUUUGGAUUUAGGUUAUAAUAAUAUUGACAUAUUGCCAGAAGAGAGGUUAUACGGAUUGAAGAAGCUGAAAACACUAAAUCUCACUUCGAAUAGGAUAUUAGAACUUCCAGUUUUCAGUGAAGAUAUUGAGCAAGUAGAGAAUUUGGAUGUCUCAGGGAAUCAAUUACAGAAACUUGAAGGGGUUACCUUUCGCCAUCUUUACAACCUAAAAACUUUGUGGAUACAAAACAAUCAGAUAAGCUGGAUACAGCCCGGAGCCUUUGUAGAUCUCAGUUCUUUAUCUGAGCUGAAUUUAGAAGGCAAUCAACUGACCCAGUUGAAUGGAAAUAUGCUUAUGCCUGUUGAAAUCAGAGUAUCAAAGCUCCUGCUCUCUGGAAAUCCAUUUCAAUGUGACUGUCGUCUUCUUAGCUUCUGGGAAUGGAUACAAGAACAUACUAGAUUGAUACAAAAUCCGGAUGGAAAUGGAAAGGACCUUACCUGUGCCAUGCCUGAGAGACUUCGGGAUCACUCAAUUUUAAGCCUUCACCCUGUUGACAUCUGCCCAGCACCUUUCAUAGCAGACCUAGAAGCUAUCCAUUUGGAUCAUGAAUCAUUAAUCAUCAAAUGGAAUGUGCAAAAUGGGACACUCAUUGAUGACUUUCUUGUGACAUAUCAUCUUACUUCAUCUCGGGGCAGUGGUGUGAAAUCCAGUGAACCACUUCCAUCGACUCAGCGACGUUUCCAGUUGGACUCUUUGAAAUCGGAAACGUGGUAUACUGUUUGUGUAACGGCAGCUGGUAAAUAUCUAAGGACCUUAGGUAAACCUAUCCCAUACGUAACGAUCGAAGGAAAAUCACAGCCUGCAGUACCGGACAAUAGAAAUCAUAAGUGCCUGCAGAUAAAGACAUUAGCCAAGUUGCAAAAAACUAAGAUGACCUUAUCAACCUUAGGGAUCAUCCUAGGGAGCAGCAUCAGUGCUGCGCUUGUGCUCACAUUGUCUGUGCUCCUAACUGCCAUCAAGUUUAGAAGACGUCGUAGAAGAAGACCGGUGAAGAAUGAUGUUCCACAGGAAUACAUCUCUUACAGACAUUUCUCCCUCCAGUCUUCAGAAGAACCCCCAAGAAUUAUUAACCACUGUUUGGAGCACGCUUCGUGAUUUGGAAGAUUGGUUACAUUUUCACAUCUGGUGAGUUAAAUAUGUUGCAAGUGACAUUCAAUCCUUCUGGAUAGAUGUAUGGCUUGGGGCCGGAUGACCAUGCGUAGAAGCACAUUCUUCUCAACAUUUUGAUUUUCGACGACUUGAGUCCUGUUCUGUGUUAACAUAAAGUGGAAUGAGAAUAUAAAAGCAGAAGUACAUUAAAGAAUACUUAUAAACAUUAUUAACAUGACACGUUAUAUGUGUGAAGACAGCGAUGGGGUUAUGGAUGACAAAUAGCCAUCCAAUACGUGCAUUCACUCAGUGGAAACUGAUUUCUUGCUCAAACUGUGAAAAAUGCGAGAGCGUAUGUUGAAUAAUAUUCCAUAGUUCUGAAUGAUAACUACUCGGAAAAGGUAAAACCUUGAAGGCAAGUACGCUUAGGACAUUUACGAAACGUAAGAUAAAAAUGAAAUGUUGCUGUGAGUUUUUGCGAUUGAACAGAUUUUAAUGUUUGGUUGAUGUAAUCACUCUGUGCAUCUGUUUCUUGUUUUUGUACAAAUGCAUAAUAUGGUAAAUAAAAUACUGUUUUGGUGGUUA
Molecule: unclassified non-coding RNA, 5008 nt
Organism: Stegodyphus dumicola
Lineage: Eukaryota; Metazoa; Arthropoda; Arachnida; Araneae; Eresidae
Source: RefSeq, a predicted model, not a curated record